CGCCCGCUCAGAAACUCAAAGGAAUUGACGGGGGCCCGCACAAGCGGUGGAGCAUGUGGUUUAAUUCGAUGAUACGCGAGGAACCUUACCUGGGCUCAAAUGUAUGUUGACGUAUUCUGAAAGGGAUACUUCUUCGGACAAUAUACAAGGUGCUGCAUGGUUGUCGUCAGCUCGUGCCGUGAGGUGUCGGGUUAAGUCCCAUAACGAGCGCAACCCCUAUCAUUAGUUGCCAUCAGGUCAAGCUGGGGACUCUAAUGAAACUGCCUACGCAAGUAGUGAGGAAGGCGGGGAUGACGUCAAAUCAGCACGGCCCUUACGUCCAGGGCUACACACGUGCUACAAUGGCCGAUACAGAGGGCAGCUACCUGGUGACAGGAUGCAAAUCUCCAAAGUCGGUCUCAGUUCGGAUCGGAGUCUGCAACCCGACUCCGUGAAGUUGGAUUCGCUAGUAAUCGCGCAUCAGCCAUGGCGCGGUGAAUACGUUCCCGGGCCUU
Molecule: ribosomal RNA, 494 nt
Filed under: uncultured Sphingobacteriales bacterium
Lineage: Bacteria; Pseudomonadati; Bacteroidota; Sphingobacteriia; Sphingobacteriales
Description: bacterial SSU rRNA
Rfam family: Bacterial small subunit ribosomal RNA
Source: RNAcentral